GAUCAAGUGAAUAAGUGCAUACGGUGGAUGCCUUGGCGACAACAGGCGAAGAAGGACGUGGAAAUCUGCGAAAAGCUUGGAUGAGCUGAUAACAAGCGAUUAAUCCAAGAUCUCCGAAUGGGGCAACCCGACCUAAGGGUCAUCUUUAAUUGAAUCAAUAGAUUAAAGAAGCGAACCGGGAGAACUGAAACAUCUCAGUACCCCGAGGAAAAGAAAUCAACCGAGAUUCUGCAAGUAGCGGCGAGCGAAC
This 250-nucleotide ribosomal RNA is filed under the name Dichelobacter nodosus. Its description in RNAcentral is "partial 23S ribosomal RNA". It matches the Rfam family "Bacterial large subunit ribosomal RNA", at positions 1 to 258 of the family's 2925-position model. Lineage: Bacteria; Pseudomonadati; Pseudomonadota; Gammaproteobacteria; Cardiobacteriales; Cardiobacteriaceae. The record is from RNAcentral.